Parasteatoda tepidariorum (common house spider) is the source of this 847-nucleotide non-coding RNA. The record is from RefSeq and is a predicted model, not a curated record. NCBI's taxonomy places the organism in Eukaryota, Metazoa, Arthropoda, Arachnida, Araneae, Theridiidae.
UGAAAAUAACGUUACAUAACAAUAUAAUUCCAUUUUUCUUUAAGUCAUGAGGUAAAAUAGUAAUAAUUUUUUAAAUAAGGCUUGACAGUUUUAUUUAACUUUUUUUAAAAUAUUAUAUGAGAGUUAUUCUACAAUGUAGCAUUUUAUUCCAGGUUUAAUUAGAAUAAUAAUAAGAAAAAUAAGAAGAAAAAUCAAAAAUAGAGAAAAUAUUGAUUCACAAUAUAGUUUCAAAGUAACUCUCCACAUUGCUUUCAGUUAUUUGAGUUUUUGUUUUACAAGUGGAUUAAACGAUACUGAGUUUCAACUUUUCACUCCUUUUCCGUGGGAACAAGUUCUACACAAGGAUUGCUACCCCUACACUAGACGACACUACUUGCAUUUAUUUACAAUUUUGCACGCGUGUGUUUAUAUACGCCGAAUUCAAUGUUUCUCCGAUACCAGAAGUUGCCAAGACGUGCUGAUUAUUCUGCCAUUGUUCCUUUUAUAGAGAUCUCCCCUGAUUUUAUGAAUCAAAUAAAAGGGGAUGUUUCCCUAUUUGAACUAGAUUGUGCCUACUAAAAAUGUUGAAACAAAAAAAAAAAAAAUUUGUACUUUGCAAAAAUUUAAAAAGAAGUAUGUAGAAGUUUUCCUGAGGGUUGCCUCAACUUAUAUUCUCUGAGUUACUCCCAUUCUGAGAUAUUUUCGUAAUUUUUCGUGGACCACUGGAAGUUUAUAAAUAUUUAGCCAUAGGUAACAACAUAGAAAUACUCAUUAAACUUUUAAUUCUCUAUUAGGGUUACUUCUGUAUUGUGAGCAGUUAUGCCAACUGCUAUCGUCCAGGCACCAAAUAGAUUUCUAACUGCUAACU